AUGUAUCAAGAUGUACCUUUCACUUAAGAUCCAUGCAGGCGCAAGCUCUGGAUGAACUUCUGCGGUGACGUCGGCAUUCUUACAGGAGAACCCAAGAUUC
Molecule: long non-coding RNA, 100 nt
Organism: Amphibalanus amphitrite
Lineage: Eukaryota; Metazoa; Arthropoda; Thecostraca; Balanomorpha; Balanidae
Exons: 2
Source: RefSeq, a predicted model, not a curated record